CCUGCACCGGUGGGGUCCCUCGGCCUGGCCUGCACCUUCUCGCAAUCCAGGACCCCUCAGGUGCUAUUGGCGAGACAGUUUUGGCCCGAUCCCUGCAGGCCAGGCCGAGGGACCCCACUAGUGCACG
Molecule: microRNA precursor, 127 nt
Filed under: Myotis brandtii (Brandt's bat)
Lineage: Eukaryota; Metazoa; Chordata; Mammalia; Chiroptera; Vespertilionidae
Description: mir-9193 microRNA precursor family
Rfam family: mir-9193 microRNA precursor family
Source: Rfam by way of RNAcentral